Long non-coding RNA from Manis javanica (Malayan pangolin), 888 nucleotides. RefSeq lists it as uncharacterized. NCBI's taxonomy places the organism in Eukaryota, Metazoa, Chordata, Mammalia, Pholidota, Manidae. The record is from RefSeq and is a predicted model, not a curated record.
GGUCACACCUGUCAAGCACAGAACCGCUUGCUUCCAAUCCCACCACUCCUGCCUCACCCUUUAAAGCAGCUAAGGCCCCCCUCACGUGACAGGGGUCAGCUCCAGGACAAGGCUUUCUAACUACUGCAGCCACACUAGAAUGGAGUGAACAGAUGAAGAACUCUCUGCUCAGCCCAAAAAGAAAUCAAUCCCCUGACUUUCCCUGUCCCCAGGCCCAAGUACAACUCAUGGAGGUCUGGGACCCAGGCUCAACAGAGGGGACACAGUUCUUGACCUGGACUGCCGAACAAGAAUAGAUCUAAAUUAGGCCAUCAGCUCUACCCGGUCUUCUCGCCUCCCUGCCUAUUUCGAGGGCCAAGAGCUGAGUGAGAUUCUAGUCCUUCAGGCUUGGCCCUCGUCGCCUACUCCCUACCGGUGUCCGCCAAGGUACCUAUGAAAUAGGGACAUUGUUAUUCCCACGUUAAUAUGAGGAAAGGAAGAGGUGAAGAAACCAAGUGGCAGGUCUGGGAUGAUGAGCAUGCCUGCACCUUGCAGAACGCAUCAUCCGAAGUCGGAGGCCUCGGGGAGGUUUCCCAGGCUGCUCUACAGAGAAGCUACCCCCAUACCACUAGCUCCUCCCCAGCCCUCAGCAUGCAGCACCCACACUGCUGUUCAGUCACUGUCACUCAGUCUCCCUCCCCCAACCCACCCUAGGCUCUGGCUCUGAGCAGCCAGGACAGGACCACACAAGCCUUGUGACAGGAGGGCACAGGGCUCUGGAACCCUGGUGCUGAGACCCCACCCUCCCAGUUACAAUGUAAAAUGAAACUUAGACUCCACAGGAACAGAGAAACCAAGAAAAUGGGUGUGUUCCAUUUGUAAUAAAAAUAAACAUUUUUUUUAAUGGGA